This 72-nucleotide transfer RNA is filed under the name Eubacterium sp. RNAcentral describes it as "tRNA-Gln". It matches the Rfam family "tRNA". Rfam says of the family: Transfer RNA (tRNA) molecules are approximately 80 nucleotides in length. The record is from RNAcentral. RNAcentral also lists the same sequence under 3 other names. Lineage: Bacteria; Bacillati; Bacillota; Clostridia; Eubacteriales; Eubacteriaceae.
UGGGUUGUCGCCAAGCGGUAAGGCACAGGGUUUUGAUCCCUGCAUUCGCAGGUUCGAAUCCUGCCAGCCCAG